RNAcentral lists this ribosomal RNA (391 nucleotides) under Escherichia coli. RNAcentral's name for it is "partial 23S ribosomal RNA". It matches the Rfam family "Bacterial large subunit ribosomal RNA", at positions 805 to 1194 of the family's 2925-position model. Lineage: Bacteria; Pseudomonadati; Pseudomonadota; Gammaproteobacteria; Enterobacterales; Enterobacteriaceae. The record is from RNAcentral.
UGACUUGUGGCUGGGGGUGAAAGGCCAAUCAAACCGGGAGAUAGCUGGUUCUCCCCGAAAGCUAUUUAGGUAGCGCCUCGUGAAUUCAUCUCCGGGGGUAGAGCACUGUUUCGGCAAGGGGGUCAUCCCGACUUACCAACCCGAUGCAAACUGCGAAUACCGGAGAAUGUUAUCACGGGAGACACACGGCGGGUGCUAACGUCCGUCGUGAAGAGGGAAACAACCCAGACCGCCAGCUAAGGUCCCAAAGUCAUGGUUAAGUGGGAAACGAUGUGGGAAGGCCCAGACAGCCAGGAUGUUGGCUUAGAAGCAGCCAUCAUUUAAAGAAAGCGUAAUAGCUCACUGGUCGAGUCGGCCUGCGCGGAAGAUGUAACGGGGCUAAACCAUGCAC